Long non-coding RNA from Bufo bufo (common toad), 136 nucleotides. RefSeq lists it as uncharacterized. The transcript is spliced from 3 exons. Lineage: Eukaryota; Metazoa; Chordata; Amphibia; Anura; Bufonidae. The record is from RefSeq and is a predicted model, not a curated record.
AACCAGCCAUUCAUGUCUUCAUCUUCAUCAAGGUUGGAUUUAGCUACUGCAUUUUAAUGGUGACUAAUUUUAAUAUUUACUCCCCUUUACGGAGAGUUUAUUCAUAAUCUCUGUGUGACUUGUAUGCUACUUUUUG